GCGACCCCAGGUCAGGCGGGGAUACCCGCUGAGUUUAA
This 38-nucleotide ribosomal RNA is filed under the name Boehmeria cylindrica (false nettle). Its description in RNAcentral is "partial 26S ribosomal RNA". Lineage: Eukaryota; Viridiplantae; Streptophyta; Magnoliopsida; Rosales; Urticaceae. The record is from RNAcentral.